CUUCUGUGUAUAAAUAUAUUCAGUACUUAUGAAAAGUACUUAUUCCUACUAUCCAUCUUCUGUUGUCACUGAAGUCUCCCUCAGGUCUUGGCAUAAAAAGUGUUAGCCAUUGGCAUGAGAGCAAUGUGACAUUUCAAGCACAACACAAUGAUAAACAUUGAUAAAGCUUUAUCAUUUUUUCACAAACAUACUUGAGACAGGGUUAUUCUUGCCAUUGUGGCUUUAGAACUUAACUGCCCGCUCAUUUGUCAAGUCUAAUUCCUUUGGGCUUUUUCAACUCUACCACCCUCUAUUAGAACUUAUCCUUAAUAACUGCCACUCUCCUACUUUCCUCUAGU
This 338-nucleotide long non-coding RNA is filed under the name Bos taurus (domestic cattle). RNAcentral describes it as "long non-coding RNA NONBTAT007133". Lineage: Eukaryota; Metazoa; Chordata; Mammalia; Artiodactyla; Bovidae. The record is from RNAcentral.